AGUUUGAUUAUGGCUCAGGAUGAACGCUAGCGGCAGGCUUAACACAUGCAAGUCGAGGGGCAACGCGAGUAGCAAUACUUGGCGGCGACCGGCGCAAGGGUGCGUAACGCGUGAGCAACAUGCCCGUAUCAGGGGGAUAAUCCAGGGAAACUUGGUCUAAUACCCCAUAGUAAUUUUGUAAGGCAUCUUAUAAGAUUUAAAGCUUUGGUGGAUACGGAUUGGCUCGCGUGACAUUAGCUGGAUGGUAAGGUAACGGCUUACCAUGGCUAUGAUGUCUAGGGGUUCUGAGAGGAAGGUCCCCCACACUGGAACUGAGACACGGUCCAGACUCCUACGGGAGGCAGCAGUGAGGAAUAUUGGGCAAUGGAUGGAAAUCUGAUCCAGCCAUGCCGCGUGAAAGGAAGAAGGUCCUAUGGAUUGUAAACUUCUUUUGUAUGGGAGCAAUAAGGCCUACGUGUAGGUUGAUGAGAGUACCAUACGAAUAAGCACCGGCUAACUCCGUGCCAGCCGCCGC
This 514-nucleotide ribosomal RNA is filed under the name uncultured bacterium. Its description in RNAcentral is "bacterial SSU rRNA". It matches the Rfam family "Bacterial small subunit ribosomal RNA", at positions 10 to 518 of the family's 1533-position model. The record is from RNAcentral.